GGCUGGGCGGGUGGGGACUGCCCUCUGGAUGGCAUGAGUAGGCAUCAGCUUGGAGUGGGAGAAACUAUGAGUCACUUGGUUGUUUUCAGUAAGUGGCAGGGAGUUUAAAAAGAGAACGGAUAGCUACAUUCCAAAUCGCAAAAAAUGUAAAAAAUCAUAUGGGCAUGAAUAACAUUCAGCCACAAAUAUUUAUGAAGCUUCUGCUGUGUGCCAGACAAAAUGGCUGGGUAUUAGGACUAUGACAGUGAAGAUAACACAGCCCUUGCUCUCAAGGAUUUACAGUUGAUGAGAAAGGCAGACAAAUCCAGGAGGCAUUAUAAUCCACCAUGACAGCUGCUGAGCUCUUCUGUGGGAAUUUGCAGCAGUGGCACCCACAUAUGUGGGCAUUUGGAGAAAGUGGGGAAAGCUUCCAGGAGGAAAUGAUGUCUUAACUGGGACAGAAGCAAGAAGAGUCAGCCAGGUAAGGGUGGACAGGUCAGGGUCGGGAGGGGGUGUUUCAAGGCCAAGCGGAUGGCCUGGGACCACCAAGAGACAGAGAGAGCUUGGUGGGAUGGUGCCAUUUGGCUGAGACUUACCUGGGGACAGAGGUGAGUGAUGUUGAAAGAUAUACUUCAAAACAUCAUGCUGGCUUGUAAUCCCAGCACUCUGGGAGGCUGAGGCGGGCAGAUCACGAGGUCAGGAGAUCGAGACCAUCCUGGCUAACACGGUGAAACCCCGCCUCUACUAAAAAUACAAAAACAUAGCGGGCGUGGUGGCGGGCGCCUGUAGUCCCAGCUACUCGGGAG
RNAcentral lists this long non-coding RNA (785 nucleotides) under Homo sapiens (human). Its description in RNAcentral is "HSALNT0024463". Lineage: Eukaryota; Metazoa; Chordata; Mammalia; Primates; Hominidae. The record is from RNAcentral.